AAUGAACGCUGGCGGCAUGCCUAACACAUGCAAGUCGAACGAGACCUUCGGGUCUAGUGGCGCACGGGUGCGUAACGCGUGGGAACCUGCCCUUAGGUUCGGAAUAACUCCCCGAAAGGGGUGCUAACACCGGAUAAUGUCUUCGGACCAAAGAUUUAUCGCCUUUGGAUGGGCCCGCGUUGGAUUAGCUAGUUGGUAGGGUAAAAGCCUACCAAGGCGACGAUCCAUAGCUGGUUUGAGAGGAUGAUCAGCCACACUGGGACCGAGACACGGCCCAGACUCCUACGGGAGGCAGCAGUGGGGAAUAUUGGACAAUGGGCGAAAGCCUGAUCCAGCAAUGCCGCGUGAGUGAUGAAGGCCUUAGGGUUGUAAAGCUCUUUUACCCGGGAUGAUAAUGACAGUACCGGGAGAAUAAGCUCCGGCUAACUCCGUG
Molecule: ribosomal RNA, 433 nt
Filed under: uncultured bacterium
Lineage: Bacteria
Description: partial 16S ribosomal RNA
Rfam family: Bacterial small subunit ribosomal RNA
Source: RNAcentral